This 836-nucleotide small RNA is filed under the name Spisula solidissima (Atlantic surf clam). Its description in RNAcentral is "cnRNA48". Lineage: Eukaryota; Metazoa; Mollusca; Bivalvia; Venerida; Mactridae. The record is from RNAcentral.
AAGCGAUGGAUAUAGAUCUAGCAGCAUAAACAAUGAAUAUAGAACUAGCAGCAUCAACCAUGAAUAUAGAACUAGCAGCAUCAACCAUGAAUAUAGAACUAGCAGCAUCAACCAUGAAUAUAGACCUAGCAGCAUCAACCAUGAAUAUAGAACUAGCAGCAUCAACCAUGAAUAUAGAACUAGCAGCAUCAACCWUGAAUAUAGAACUAGCAGCAUNCAMCCAUGMAUAUAGAACUAGCAACAUCAACCAUGMAUAUAGAACUAGCAGCAUNCAMCCAUGAAUAUAGAACUAGCARCAUCAMCCAUGAAUAUAGAACUAGCAGCAUCAACCAUNGAAUAUAGAACUAGCAGCAUCAACCAUGAAUAUAGAACUAGCAACAUCAACCAUGAAUAUAGAACUAGCAGCAUCAACCCUGAAUAUAGAACUAGCAGCAUCAACCAUGAAUAUAGAACUAGCAGCAUCAACCUUGAAUAUAGAACUAGCAGCAUCAACCAUGAAUAUAGAACUAGCAGCAUCAACCUUGAAUAUAGAACUAGCAGCAUCAACCAUNAAUAUAGAACUAGCAGCAUCAACCAUGAAUAUAGAACUAGCAGCAUCAACCAUGAAUAUAGAACUAGCAGCAUCAACCAUGAAUAUAGAACUAGCAGCAUCAACCAUGAAUAUAGAMCUAGCAGCAUCAACCAUGAAUAUAGRACUAGCAGCAUCAACCAUGAAUAUAGAMCUAGCAGCAUCAACCCUGRAUAUAGUAUCAGUCUUGAUUGCAACGUCAGUCUUGAAUACAGCCAGCCAUGCAUACGGAACCAGUCUUGAAUAUUAAGUACACCGAACCGCAAAA